This 253-nucleotide ribosomal RNA is filed under the name uncultured bacterium. RNAcentral describes it as "partial 16S ribosomal RNA". It matches the Rfam family "Bacterial small subunit ribosomal RNA", at positions 524 to 776 of the family's 1533-position model. The record is from RNAcentral.
GACAGAGGAUGCAAGCGUUAUCCGGAAUGAUUGGGCGUAAAGCGUCUGUAGGUGGCUUUUUAAGUCUGCCGUCAAAUCCCAGGGCUUAACCCUGGACAGGCGGUGGAAACUACCAAGCUGGAGUAUGGUAGGGGCAGAGGGAAUUCCUGGUGUAGCGGUGAAAUGCGUAGAGAUCAGGAAGAACAUCGGUGGCGAAGGCGCUCUGCUGGACCAUAACUGACACUCAGGGACGAAAGCUAGGGGAGCGAAUGGG